GACGAACGCUGGCGGCGUGCUUAACACAUGCAAGUCGAACGGAAAGGCCCUGCUUUUGUGGGGUGCUCGAGUGGCGAACGGGUGAGUAACACGUGAGUAACCUGCCCUUUACUUUGGGAUAACUUCAGGAAACUGGGGCUAAUACCGGAUAGGAGCUCCUGCUGCAUGGUGUGGGUUGGAAAGUUUCGGCGGUUGGGGAUGGACUCGCGGCUUAUCAGCUUGUUGGUGGGGUAGUGGCUUACCAAGGCUUUGACGGGUAGCCGGCCUGAGAGGGUGACCGGCCACAUUGGGACUGAGAUAGGGCCCAGACUCCUACGGGAGGCAGCAGUGGGGAAUAUUGCACAAUGGGCGGAAGCCUGAUGCAGCAACGCCGCGUGCGGGAUGACGGCCUUCGGGUUGUAAACCGCUUUCGCCUGUGACGAAGCGUGAGUGACGGUAAUGGGUAAAGAAGCACCGGCUAACUACGUG
Molecule: ribosomal RNA, 468 nt
Filed under: uncultured bacterium
Lineage: Bacteria
Description: partial 16S ribosomal RNA
Rfam family: Bacterial small subunit ribosomal RNA
Source: RNAcentral